UACGUAGGGUGCGAGCGUUGUCCGGAAUUAUUGGGCGUAAAGGGCUCGUAGGCGGUUUGUCGCGUCGGGAGUGAAAUCCACUGGCUUAACUGGUGGCUUGCUUUCGGUACGGGCAGACUGGAGGUAUGCAGGGGAGAACGGAAUUCCUGGUGUAGCGGUGAAAUGCGCAGAUAUCAGGAGGAACACCAGUAGCGAAGGCGACACUCUGGGCCGGUACUGACGCUGAGGAGCGAAAGCGUGGGGAGCAAACAGG
This 253-nucleotide ribosomal RNA is filed under the name uncultured bacterium. RNAcentral describes it as "partial 16S ribosomal RNA". It matches the Rfam family "Bacterial small subunit ribosomal RNA", at positions 524 to 776 of the family's 1533-position model. The record is from RNAcentral.